RNAcentral lists this long non-coding RNA (213 nucleotides) under Mytilus galloprovincialis (Mediterranean mussel). The record is from RNAcentral. Lineage: Eukaryota; Metazoa; Mollusca; Bivalvia; Mytilida; Mytilidae.
GCGAAAUUGAAUGCGAAAAGACAAGUUGAAGUUCAGCUAUGAAAUUCCUGUAUCUUCUUCACGGUAAGUUUUUUACUCUUUGUUUAAUCGAAGAACAAAACCAUUUAAUAAAAAUUUUAUGAAACGGGCUUUUCUGUAUUGGUCCUGUUGUAGUUUGUGGAUAGCUGUAUAAUUUUGGAUCCGAGACUCGAAGACUGUUCUUGAAUGAAGUUG